This 301-nucleotide ribosomal RNA is filed under the name uncultured bacterium. RNAcentral describes it as "partial 16S ribosomal RNA". It matches the Rfam family "Bacterial small subunit ribosomal RNA", at positions 509 to 807 of the family's 1533-position model. The record is from RNAcentral.
CAGCCGCCGCGGUAAUACGAAGGGGGCUAGCGUUGUUCGGAAUCACUGGGCGUAAAGCGCACGUAGGCGGACGCUUAAGUCAGGGGUGAAAUCCCGCAGCUCAACUGCGGAACUGCAUUCGAUACCGCCGAACUAGAGGCUUGGAGGGGGAAGCGGAAUUCUUGGUGUAGCGGUGAAAUGCGUAGAUAUCAAGGGGAACACCGGUGGCGAAGGCGGCUUCCUGGACAAGUCCUGACUCUGAAACACGAAAGCCAGGGGAGCGAAUGGGAUUAGAUACCCCCGUAGUCCCUGUCUCUUAUAC